GUGUCAGCCGCCGCGGUAAUACGGAGGGUGCAAGCAUUAAUCGGAAUUAUUGGGCGUAAAGGGCGCGUAGGCGGAUUUGUAAGUCAGAUGUGAAAUACCGAGGCUUAACUUCGGUGCUGCAUUUGAAACUACAAAUCUAGAGGGUAGACGGAGAAAACGGAAUUCCACGUGUAGCGGUGAAAUGCGUGGAUAUGUGGAAGAACACCGGUGGCGAAAGCGGUUUUCUAGUUUAUACCUGACGCUGAGGCGCGAGAGCAAGGGGAGCAAACAGGAUUAGAUACCCUGGUAGUCCUUGCCGUAAACGAUGUAUACUUGAUGUAAUUGGUCUCAACCCCGAUUGUGUCGUAGCUAACGCGAUAAGUAUACCGCCUGAGGAGUACGCUCGCAAGGGUGAA
RNAcentral lists this ribosomal RNA (395 nucleotides) under uncultured bacterium. RNAcentral's name for it is "bacterial SSU rRNA". It matches the Rfam family "Bacterial small subunit ribosomal RNA", at positions 505 to 898 of the family's 1533-position model. The record is from RNAcentral.